AAAAAAAUAGAAUAUAACAAAUUGUAAAACCAAAAAUAAACAAUUCAAUAACGAAGUGCGAAUUCAUAUAUCGUGUCUAGCAUAUUAUUCCGAAGAAUAAGAUUUGACAAUAACAUCAGCAUAAACAUAAGUAGUAGUAUAAGUAUAAGUGUAAGUACUAGGAAAAUGUCAGUUAGAGUUUUAACGAGAAUGUAAAUACUCAUACGGCCUGCAAAGUUCAACAAUUAGCAAAAUAUAUACCUUGUAAUAAGAUAUUAAAGGUUUGGUAGACCAAAAAAACAAUAAACGGUACGAAUUUAAUAGCGCUAGAAGCACAUUUUGGCCAAUUAAUAUCUCUUCACUGAUAC
RNAcentral lists this long non-coding RNA (347 nucleotides) under Mytilus galloprovincialis (Mediterranean mussel). The record is from RNAcentral. Lineage: Eukaryota; Metazoa; Mollusca; Bivalvia; Mytilida; Mytilidae.